CUCUCGCAUCGAUGAAGAACGCAGCGAAAUGCGAUAAGUAAUGUGAAUUGCAGAAUCCAGUGAAUCAUCGAAUCUUUGAACGCACCUGCCACCCCUUGGUAUUCCGAGGGGUACGCCUGUUUGAGUGUCGUGAAUUCCUCCACUCGACCGCUNUGCUGCGUGUCGAGCUGGGAUGUUGGGGGUGUUUUGCAGGUCCCUUUCGAGGUCUGCUCCCCUUGAAUGCAUUAGUGAGGUUCGGCGCUCGGCCUCGACGUGAUAAAGUCUAUCUACGUCGUGUCCGGUGCUUUGUUUGUCCUGGUCAGCCAGGGAAAAACGGGACUUUGCUUCCAACCGUCUUCGGACAACCGUGCGCUCGCGCACAACCUUCGAACUCGACCUCAAAUCAGGUGGGACUACCCGCUGAACUUAAGCAUAUCAAUAAGCGGAGGAAAAGAAACUAACAAGGAUUCCCCUAGUAACUGCGAGUGAAGCGGGAAGAGCUCAAAUUUAAAAUCUGGCGGUCUUUCGGCCGUCCGAGUUGUAAUUUAGAGAAGCGUUUUCCGCGC
RNAcentral lists this ribosomal RNA (545 nucleotides) under uncultured fungus. RNAcentral describes it as "eukaryotic LSU rRNA". The stretch from base 373 to 545 matches the Rfam family "Eukaryotic large subunit ribosomal RNA", at positions 1 to 170 of the family's 3401-position model. Lineage: Eukaryota; Fungi. The record is from RNAcentral.